CGACGCGUUGGCCCAAUUGAUUGAUGGUGCUUGCACCUGAUUGAUUUUGGUUGCCAACGAGUGGCGGACGGGUGAGUAACACGUAGGUAACCUGCCCAGAAGCGGGGGACAACAUUUGGAAACAGAUGCUAAUACCGCAUAACAGCGUUGUUCGCAUGAACAACGCUUAAAAGAUGGCUUCUCGCUAUCACUUCUGGAUGGACCUGCGGUGCAUUAGCUUGUUGGUGGGGUAACGGCCUACCAAGGCGAUGAUGCAUAGCCGAGUUGAGAGACUGAUCGGCCACAAUGGGACUGAGACACGGCCCAUACUCCUACGGGAGGCAGCAGUAGGGAAUCUUCCACAAUGGGCGCAAGCCUGAUGGAGCAACACCGCGUGAGUGAAGAAGGGUUUCGGCUCGUAAAGCUCUGUUGUUAAAGAAGAACACGUAUGAGAGUAACUGUUCAUACGUUGACGGUAUUUAACCAGAAAGUCACGGCUAACUACGUGCCAGCAGCCGCGGUAAUACGUAGGUGGCAAGCGUUAUCCGGAUUUAUUGGGCGUAAAGAGAGUGCAGGCGGUUUUCUAAGUCUGAUGUGAAAGCCCUCGGCUUAACCGAGGAACUGCAUCGGAAACUGUUUUUCUUGAGUGCAGAAGAGGAGAGUGGAACUCCAUGUGUAGCGGUGGAAUGCGUAGAUAUAUGGAAGAACACCAGUGGCGAAGGCGGCUCUCUGGUCUGCAACUGACGCUGAGGCUCGAAAGCAUGGGUAGCGAACAGGAUUAGAUACCCUGGUAGUCCAUGCCGUAAACGAUGAGUGCUAAGUGUUGGGAGGU
This 811-nucleotide ribosomal RNA is filed under the name uncultured bacterium. Its description in RNAcentral is "bacterial SSU rRNA". It matches the Rfam family "Bacterial small subunit ribosomal RNA", at positions 40 to 831 of the family's 1533-position model. The record is from RNAcentral.